AGGAUUAACGCUGGCGGCGUGCCUAACACAUGCAAGUCGAACGAGGUAGCAAUACCUAGUGGCAGACGGGUGAGUAACGCGUGGUCAACCUACCGUUGAGUGGGGGAUAACUAGCCGAAAGGUUAGCUAAUACCGCAUACGAGUCUCGGGGGCAUCCCUGGGCCUUAAAAGGAGCAAUCCGCUCGAUGGCGGGACCGCGUCCCAUUAGCUAGAUGGUGGGGUAAUGGCCUACCAUGGCUCCGAUGGGUAGCUGGUUUGAGAGAGCGACCAGCCACACUGGGACUGAGAAACGGCCCAGACUCCUACGGGAGGCAGCAGUGAGGAAUUUUCCGCAAUGGGCGAAAGCCUGACGGAGCGACGCCGCGUGUGGGAAGAAGGCCUUCGGGUCGUAAACCACUGUCGAAGGGGACGAUAAUGACGGUACCCUUGGAGGAAGCCCCGGCUAACUACGUGCCAGCAGCCGC
Molecule: ribosomal RNA, 464 nt
Filed under: uncultured bacterium
Lineage: Bacteria
Description: SSU rRNA
Rfam family: Bacterial small subunit ribosomal RNA
Source: RNAcentral